This 400-nucleotide ribosomal RNA is filed under the name Salmonella enterica subsp. enterica serovar Typhimurium. Its description in RNAcentral is "bacterial SSU rRNA". It matches the Rfam family "Bacterial small subunit ribosomal RNA", at positions 78 to 478 of the family's 1533-position model. Lineage: Bacteria; Pseudomonadati; Pseudomonadota; Gammaproteobacteria; Enterobacterales; Enterobacteriaceae. The record is from RNAcentral.
GCUUGCUGCUUUGCUGACGAGUGGCGGACGGGUGAGUAAUGUCUGGGAAACUGCCUGAUGGAGGGGGAUAACUACUGGAAACGGUGGCUAAUACCGCAUAACGUCGCAAGACCAAAGAGGGGGACCUUCGGGCCUCUUGCCAUCAGAUGUGCCCAGAUGGGAUUAGCUUGUUGGUGAGGUAACGGCUCACCAAGGCGACGAUCCCUAGCUGGUCUGAGAGGAUGACCAGCCACACUGGAACUGAGACACGGUCCAGACUCCUACGGGAGGCAGCAGUGGGGAAUAUUGCACAAUGGGCGCAAGCCUGAUGCAGCCAUGCCGCGUGUAUGAAGAAGGCCUUCGGGUUGUAAAGUACUUUCAGCGGGGAGGAAGGUGUUGUGGUUAAUAACCGCAGCAAUUG